UACGGAGGGAGCUAGCGUUGUUCGGAAUUACUGGGCGUAAAGAGCGUGUAGGCGGCCAGGUAGGUCUGCUGUGAAAACUCGAGGCUCAACCUCGAGACGUCGGCGGAAACCAUCUGGCUAGAGUCCGGAAGAGGAGAGUGGAAUUCCUGGUGUAGCGGUGAAAUGCGCAGAUAUCAGGAAGAACACCCGUGGCGAAGGCGGCUCUCUGGGACGGUACUGACGCUGAGACGCGAAAGCGUGGGGAGCGAACAGG
RNAcentral lists this ribosomal RNA (253 nucleotides) under uncultured bacterium. RNAcentral describes it as "partial 16S ribosomal RNA". It matches the Rfam family "Bacterial small subunit ribosomal RNA", at positions 524 to 776 of the family's 1533-position model. The record is from RNAcentral.